RNAcentral lists this ribosomal RNA (250 nucleotides) under uncultured bacterium. RNAcentral's name for it is "partial 16S ribosomal RNA". It matches the Rfam family "Bacterial small subunit ribosomal RNA", at positions 524 to 773 of the family's 1533-position model. The record is from RNAcentral.
UACGUAGGUGGCAAGCGUUGUCCGGAUUUACUGGGUGUAAAGGGCGCGUAGGCGGGAAUGCAAGUCAGGAGUGAAAUCUAUGGGCUCAACCCAUAAAUUGCUUUUGAAACUGCAUUUCUUGAGUGUCGGAGAGGUAGAUGGAAUUCCUAGUGUAGCGGUGAAAUGCGUAGAUAUUAGGAGGAACACCAGUGGCGAAGGCGAUCUACUGGACGAUAACUGACGCUGAGGCGCGAAAGCGUGGGGAGCAAAC